Pelobates cultripes (western spadefoot toad) is the source of this 605-nucleotide non-coding RNA. NCBI's taxonomy places the organism in Eukaryota, Metazoa, Chordata, Amphibia, Anura, Pelobatidae. The record is from the annotation of a GenBank genome assembly.
GGGCGGGGUUAGAAAGGGAGGACUUUUGCUACAGACAAGAGAUCUACAAGCUGUUUUAAAAUAUACUUUAAUGAAAAAAAAUUCAUAAAUAAAUAAAUACAUGGAUCAAGGGGCGUACCUAGAGCAAUUGGUACCUGGGGCGGGUCCUAUUUUUGCCGCCCUCCUUUAAUUUUUUUCAAGUUUUCUUUUUAAAUUUAGCACUAAGUGUUUCGGUGUUUGUGAGUGUAAGCAUGUUUUUGUAUGGAGUAUGUGUAAGUGAAUGUAGGGUGUGUGUUUGUAUGUGGUGUUGGAGUUUGAAUGCAGGCAUGCAUUUUUAUGUAGUGUGGUUUUUUGAAUGCAGUGGUGUGGUUAUAUAUAAUGGUGGGGUUUGUGUGUAGUGUGUGGUUGAAAUGCAGGGGUGUAUUUGUGUGUAGUGUUAGCGAGAUUCUGAGAUGUAUACACAUACACACAUACAGACACACAUGCAGACACAGUGGCAACUCUAGGAACAAUAUAUAGGGGGAGGGCACUACAAAACUGGGGGUAGCACUAAAACCUUUCACUAGGGGAUGGAGUAACACGUUGGCAUCAGUCAAAAAAUUUGCAUAUAAUUCACAUUAUCUAAU